This 127-nucleotide transfer RNA is filed under the name Bacteroidia bacterium. RNAcentral's name for it is "tRNA-Pro". The record is from RNAcentral. Lineage: Bacteria; Pseudomonadati; Bacteroidota; Bacteroidia.
CGGGGUGUAGCGCAGUUGGCUAGCGCGCCACGUUCGGGACAUGGAGGCCGGAGGUUCGCCAUGCAGCAGAGGAAUGUUUUCACUUCGCUUCAACAUUUUACGCUUCACAGAAGUCCUCUCACCCCGA